AGGACGAACGCUGGCGGCGUGCUUAACACAUGCAAGUCGAGCGAGGCCUUCCCUUCGGGGGAGUGCCCUAGCGGCGAACGGGUGAGUAACACGUGGGCAACCUGCCCCUAGCACUGGGAUAACUCCGGGAAACCGGGGCUAAUACCGGAUAUGACCUUUGAGGGCAUCCUCUUUGGUGUAAAGGAUUCUGGCUAGGGAUGGGCCCGCGGCCUAUCAGCUUGUUGGUGGGGUAAUAGCCUACCAAGGCGACGACGGGUAGCCGGCCUGAGAGGGCGACCGGCCACACUGGGACUGAGACACGGCCCAGACUCCUACGGGAGGCAGCAGUGGGGAAUAUUGCACAAUGGGCGAAAGCCUGAUGCAGCGACGCCGCGUGAGGGAUGACGGCCUUCGGGUUGUAAACCUCUUUCAGCUCCGACGAAGCGAAAGUGACGGUAGGAGCAGAAGAAGCACCGGCCAACUACGUGCCAGCGAGCCGGC
This 480-nucleotide ribosomal RNA is filed under the name uncultured bacterium. RNAcentral describes it as "SSU rRNA". It matches the Rfam family "Bacterial small subunit ribosomal RNA", at positions 26 to 518 of the family's 1533-position model. The record is from RNAcentral.